Molecule: ribosomal RNA, 253 nt
Filed under: uncultured bacterium
Lineage: Bacteria
Description: partial 16S ribosomal RNA
Rfam family: Bacterial small subunit ribosomal RNA
Source: RNAcentral
UACAGAGGUGGCAAGCGUUGUUCGGAAUUACUGGGCGUAAAGGGCGAGUAGGCGGCCUUCUAAGUCAGACGUGAAAUCCCCCGGCUUAACCUGGGAACUGCGUCUGAUACUGGGAGGCUUGAGUAUGGGAGAGGGAUGUAGAAUUCCAGGUGUAGCGGUGAAAUGCGUAGAUAUCUGGAGGAAUACCGGUGGCGAAGGCGGCAUCCUGGACCAUUACUGACGCUGAACAGCGAAAGCUAGGGGAGCAAACGGG